UCUCUACGGGAGAAAAUAAAGGCCUCUCUUCCUGCAAGGCCGCUGAGGACUAAUUCGAGGCCAUAGGACUCUGGCUAAAGGCUGCCACGUGGUUUCCUGCUCAGCUCAGCUGUUGGGCUCCUGUGUUGUUUGGCUCUCCAGUCAAGGUCUGCGGCAGGUACGGAGGCCGUAUCAGGAGCACCUGCUCACAUCCAUGCCCCCGGGAGCCAAGGCCCAGGUGUCUCAGGUGGGCCGGGAGGAGGCUGUCAGGGUGCGAGGCCCUCAGAGCUGUUGGAUCCCACCCACCUCCCUUACUUGACUGAUAAACGAGCCAGCCCAGAGAAGGUCAGAACCCUGAACAGAAGCCCCCAGAAAAGCUGGGGUGACAUGAAGACUCAUGAAGAACAGGAAGACUCCAUGCCAGGAGAACGUCACCAGCGUGAGCCCAAGCUCUGCAUCUAAGCCGCCACUUCACCUCUCAUUACCCGAACACACCCACCAGCGCCGGGCGCUCUUCUAAGAUUUUAAAAUAUCAGCUCAUGAGUAUUUUCAUCUUCAUAGCAACCUACGAGGUGAGGACACAGUGAGAAGGUGGCCAUCUGCAAGGCAGAAAGAGAGUUCUCACCAGGACAUCACCAUGCUGGUGCCCUGACCUUGGACUUCCAGUCUCUAGAGCUGUGAGGAAAUAAAUUCCUGUUGUGUAAGCCA
Molecule: long non-coding RNA, 687 nt
Organism: Canis lupus familiaris (dog)
Lineage: Eukaryota; Metazoa; Chordata; Mammalia; Carnivora; Canidae
Exons: 4
Source: RefSeq, a predicted model, not a curated record